CUCCAGGACCUGGGGAUACCGCAGAGGGCAGGACCAAGCCCCUGUCCCCAAGGAGUGCGAAGUCUAGGGGAGGAGAUGGAUGAGAAACCAACAGACAAGUCCAAACACAGCUGCAGGUGGUCACUGCUGCCAAGAACCGUGGGCAGGGGAAGGAUGCGGAAGGUUCUGCUGAACGCGGCAAUGCUCUGCUCCUUCCCUGCUCCUCAGGACUGGUGCCACCUUCCACAGGGCCGCCAUCAAAGUCACAAUCUCCAGGUGUCCUCAACUCCUCCCCUCUCCUCGAACCUAACCAGCCACUAGUGCUGUGGAUUUUACUUCCUAAACAGCUCUUCAAGUCUUUUUCUCUCUGUCCCCCAGACUCACCCCUCCCACGUCACAACAUCCUCUCCCACCAGACAACAGCAGUAGUCUCCUCCCUGGUCCCCUUGCCUCCGGUCUCACCUCACCUCCCCUCCCCUCCCGCCCACACAAAUGUGAUCAGGACCCUCCCCACCCCCAGUCUCCCUCGGAGAUGCUGCCUUCAGGUCCGGCCCCAGGUCCUUUGAAUGGAAUCCAAGGCCCUCCAAUCCCUAACCCCGCCCACAUCGGCUUCAGGCCUCGUGGACUCGCCUCUUCCAGGAGGCCUUCCCAGACUCCACAAGCUGGGUUUGGGGCCCCUGCUCUGGGGCUCGCAGAGUGUCUGAGAAUACCUCCUGGAUCUUAAAUGUGGAAGGAAUGGACGGAGCAGACAAGCCAGUGGCUUUCCUGUCCGAGUCUUUGCGCGUGCUGUUCCCUCCGCCUGGAAAGCUGUUGACCUACUCUUGGCAUGGCUGACUCCUUCAGUGUCAGCCUAAGAUCACGACCUGGGAGACUUCACCAUCCUCCCUGCCCAUCAGGUCAGAAGUGGAAUUCACACUCCUCUGUUAUUCUCUGUGUUACCCUGUUCCUUCCCUUAUCUUUCAAGGCGUGGAUCACAUUUUGUAAUUAGACAUUUAUUUAAACCUUCAUAAAAGCAGGGGCUGCCUCUUUCUUGUUCACUACUCCUUUCUCAGGUACCCAGCAGAGUGCCUGGCAUGUCUUAGGUUCUUCUGAAUGAAUGAAUGAGAGGUGACUGCUCGAGGGAGCCAGCCGUGAUGCCAGAGAUGGUGGACAAAGUGAAAAGGGCAUCCUCUUGUCAGGGCCCCCAGGGAAUGUGGGUGCUUAGUAUGGACUCUGACCUGGCUCCUGAGGCCCCCACCCCAAAUCCGGCCUCAGGCUCUGAGCAUCUGGCCCUGUAGGGCCAUGCUGUCCCCUCCAGCAGCCACUGGCCAAGUGUGGCGAAUCCCGCUUGAGAUGUGAGGCAAGUAUAAAAUGCAGACUGAAUUUCAAAGACCCAGUAUGAAGAAAAGAAUGUAACAUAGCUCAUUAAUAACUUUUUAUAUUGA
Molecule: long non-coding RNA, 1403 nt
Filed under: Equus caballus (horse)
Lineage: Eukaryota; Metazoa; Chordata; Mammalia; Perissodactyla; Equidae
Description: lncRNA (ENSECAG00000053941.1)
Source: RNAcentral